GGAGCUGCAGGCCUGCAGGGGAUGCCAGGGGAGAGGGGUAUCCCUGGUUCUCCUGGUCCUAAAGGAGAUGUGGGUUCAGUUGGUGAGAAAGGAACCGAGGGUACUGCUGGAAACGACGGGCCCGGGGGACUUCCUGGUCCAGUUGGACCAACAGGAGGCAUUGGGCUCAAUGGUGAUAAGGUAAAG
Molecule: long non-coding RNA, 186 nt
Organism: Salvelinus fontinalis (brook trout)
Lineage: Eukaryota; Metazoa; Chordata; Actinopteri; Salmoniformes; Salmonidae
Exons: 3
Source: RefSeq, a predicted model, not a curated record